Long non-coding RNA from Lolium rigidum, 1422 nucleotides. RefSeq lists it as uncharacterized. NCBI's taxonomy places the organism in Eukaryota, Viridiplantae, Streptophyta, Magnoliopsida, Poales, Poaceae. The transcript has 4 exons. The record is from RefSeq and is a predicted model, not a curated record.
GCCAUCGCCUCCAUCCUCCUCGCGCGCCCCCAGCCUCGCCACCACCAAUCCCCGCAGCCGUCGUCCGCCCCCUCCUUCCACGCCACGAGCUCCUCCUACUCCAUCCCAGAGCGCCCCUUCCCAUCCUGCCCAUUCCCUCGCGAGUAGCAGCAGCGCCGGCGGCUAAUGCAGGAGAGAGAAGGAGGCAUCACCAAGGAUCCAGGCUGAUGCGGAGAGAGAGAGGAGGCGGCGUCGUCAAGGAGCGGCUCGAGAUCGGCAUCCUCUAGACCCAUCUCUGCACCUCAACUCCCAAGCCAAUUUCAGACAGGAGGAUUUUAAGAUUUGCUGGUGAUUGGCCAUCUCCACUUGGAAAACACUAUUUGAAGAGAGAGGUUAUUUCAUGAAAGCAAAAGCGGGAUGGAGGGGAAGAUUGACCUAUGUGAUAUUCAUUCCCCUCGAUUAAUUUUAUUUUCUGAAAAUUGGCUCAAACUAUCUGACUUACAUGUACACUAUAUUGCCUCUUGAUUUUGUGACUUUUCUAUGCAAGCUAUUAUUGUCUAAACAGAUGCGUUAUUUAUGCUAGGCUUUUUGAGACAAUCGUCAAUGGGAGAAGCUGCUAAUGAAUUCCUUUAUAGUGCUUUGGACGUGAACUCAUGGUGGUGAUUGAUUUCAAAUGAAAAUUUUCAAGCUGAAAUUAAGUACACAAGCAGCUAAAUUUUGUUUCCAUGAUUUUAUUGUACUUCUCUGAUAUUUUUUUCAUGAUUGCCGAUUGCAGCUUCGACUGUCAUAAAAAUUACGAUGCUCUUCCCAGGGUUCUUGCAAUCUUCACUUUCAGCUUGAGUUGUUAGCCUUCAAAAUUCUUGGAAUAAGAAAAAAAAAGGCUCUCCCUGGAGAUAGCUGCAAUUGAGGUACCUUGGGUACAUAAGCUCAUUUAUUUUCAUUGGCUGGUAUUUCUAAUUUUUUUAACUUCUACUGCAUAGUAAAAUAAUCAUAUAGGUGCCAUGCUUCUUUGCGUUAUUUGUGACCAAAAAUAAUCUAAAUCUAUAUCCUUUAAAGUUGUUUUGGGUCAGCCAUAUCUUUGAUUGUAUUACUGCUCACCUUGGUCAAUUUAAUUCCAGCGGUUUGAGAAGGAGAAGGAUCUUCUAAACAAUAGGUGUAGUAAAAAUGGAGUCUACGGUUAAGCUAAACUAAUACCCUUGCUGGACAUUGACUAGCUAUGUUGUUGACGAGUAUAACAAAUUUCCAGGGUACAAGAUUCAAGCCGAAAUAUUACAAGAUUCCAGGGCAGUUGUUGCUAGCUUAUAAACUGGUUUUUCUAGCAAUUUAGAAUAAUUAAAUUAUGGCACCUUGGUAUCUAAUAAACUGCAUGGCUGGGGUGAGUGGAAAAUAUGUGGUAUGUUCAUUUCUUUACCAAGAUUAUACAUGACAUCAUUUACAUGUAGU